RNAcentral lists this ribosomal RNA (1406 nucleotides) under Pediococcus acidilactici. RNAcentral's name for it is "16S ribosomal RNA". It matches the Rfam family "Bacterial small subunit ribosomal RNA". Lineage: Bacteria; Bacillati; Bacillota; Bacilli; Lactobacillales; Lactobacillaceae. The record is from RNAcentral.
UAACCCGUGGGCACCUUGCCAAGAAGCAGGGGAUAACCCUUGGAAAAGGUUGCUAAUUCCGUAUAACAGAGAAAACCGCCUUGGUUUUCUUUUAAAAGGAUGGUUCUGCUAUCACUUCUGGAUGGACCCGCGGCGCAUUAGCUAGUUGGUGAGGUAACGGCUCACCAAGGCGAUGAUGCGUAGCCGACCUGAGAGGUAACCGCCACAUUGGACUGAGACACGGGCCAAGACCUCUACGGGAGGCAGAAGUAGGGAAUCUUCGACAAUGGACGAAAGUCUGAUGGAGCAACGCCGCGUGAGUGAAGAAGGGUUUCGGAUCGUAAAGCUCUGUUGUUAAAGAAGAACGUGGGUGAGAGUAACUGUUCACCCAUUGACGGUAUUUAACCAGAAAGCCACGGCUAACUACGUGCCAGCAGCCGCGGUAAUACGUAGGUGGCAACCGUUGAUCCGGGAUUUAUUGGGCGUAAAGCGAGCGCAGGCGGUCUUUUAAGUCUAAUGUUGAAAACUUCGGCUCAACCGAAGAAGUGCAUUGGAAACUGGGAGACUUGAGUGCAGAAGAGGAUAGUGGAACUCCAUGUGUAGCGGUGAAAUGCGUAGAUAUAUGGAGGAACACCAGUGGCGAAGGCGGCUGCUCUGGUCUGUAACUGACGCUGAGGCUCGAAAGCAUGGGUAGCGAACAGGAUUAGAUACCCUGGUAGUCCAUGCCGUAAACGAUGAUUACUAAGUGUUGGAGGGUUUCCGCCCUUCAGUGCUGCAGCUAACGCAUUAAGUAAUCCGCCUGGGGAGUACGACCGCAAGGUUGAAACUCAAAAGAAUUGACGGGGGCCCGCACAAGCGGUGGAGCAUGUGGUUUAAUUCGAAGCUACGCGAAGAACCUUACCAGGUCUUGACAUCUUCUGCCAACCUAGAGAUUAGGCGUUCCCUUCGGGGACAGAAUGACAGGUGGUGCAUGGUUGUCGUCAGCUCGUGUCGUGAGAUGUUGGGUUAAGUCCCGCAACGGCGCAACCCUUAUUACUAGUUGCCAGCAUUCAGUUGGGCACUCUAGUGAGACUGCCGGUGACAAACCGGAGGAAGGUGGGGACGACGUCAAAUCAUCAUGCCCCUUAUGACCUGGGCUACACACGUGCUACAAUGGGUGGUACAACGAGUUGCGAAACCGCGAGGUUUAAGCUAAUCUCUUAAAACCAUUCUCAGUUCGGACUGUAGGCUGCAACUCGCCUACACGAAGUCGGAAUCGCUAGUAAUCGCGGAUCAGCAUGCCGCGGUGAAUACGUUCCCGGGCCUUGUACACACCGGCCGUCACACCAUGAGAGUUUGUAACAACCCAAGGCGGUUGGGUAACCUUUUAGGGGCUAGCCGUUUAAGGUGGGACAAAUUAUUAGGGGUGAAGUCGUAACAAGGUAACC